This 330-nucleotide unclassified non-coding RNA is filed under the name soil metagenome. RNAcentral's name for it is "partial contains 5.8S ribosomal RNA, internal transcribed spacer 2, and large subunit ribosomal RNA". The stretch from base 1 to 120 matches the Rfam family "5.8S ribosomal RNA", at positions 35 to 154 of the family's 154-position model. The record is from RNAcentral.
GAUGAAGAACGCAGCGAAAUGCGAUAAGUAAUGUGAAUUGCAGAAUUCAGUGAAUCAUCGAAUCUUUGAACGCACAUUGCGCCCCCUGGUAUUCCGGGGGGCAUGCCUGUUCGAGCGUCAUUUCACCACUCAAGCCUCGCUUGGUAUUGGGCAUCGCGGUCCGCCGCGCGCCUCAAAUCGACCGGCUGGGUCUUCUGUCCCCUAAGCGUUGUGGAAACUAUUCGCUAAAGGGUGUUCGGGAGGCUACGCCGUAAAACAACCCCAUUCCUAAGGUUGACCUCGGAUCAGGUAGGGAUACCCGCUGAACUUAAGCAUAUCAAUAAGCGGAGA